Molecule: ribosomal RNA, 1418 nt
Filed under: uncultured prokaryote
Description: 16S ribosomal RNA
Rfam family: Bacterial small subunit ribosomal RNA
Source: RNAcentral
AUACAUGCAAGUUGAGCGCUGAAGGUUGGUACUUGUACCAACUGGAUGAGCAGCGAACGGGUGAGUAACGCGUGGGGAAUCUGCCUUUGAGCGGGGGACAACAUUUGGAAACGAAUGCUAAUACCGCAUAAAAACUUUAAACACAAGUUUUAAGUUUGAAAGAUGCAAUUGCAUCACUCAAAGAUGAUCCCGCGUUGUAUUAGCUAGUUGGUGAGGUAAAGGCUCACCAAGGCGAUAAUACAUAGCCGACCUGAGAGGGUGAUCGGCCACAUUGGGACUGAGACACGGCCCAAACUCCUACGGGAGGCAGCAGUAGGGAAUCUUCGGCAAUGGACGAAAGUCUGACCGAGCAACGCCGCGUGAGUGAAGAAGGUUUUCGGAUCGUAAAACUCUGUUGGUAGAGAAGAACGUUGGUGAGAGUGGAAAGCUCAUCAAGUGACGGUAACUACCCAGAAAGGGACGGCUAACUACGUGCCAGCAGCCGCGGUAAUACGUAGGUCCCGAGCGUUGUCCGGAUUUAUUGGGCGUAAAGCGAGCGCAGGUGGUUUAUUAAGUCUGGUGUAAAAGGCAGUGGCUCAACCAUUGUAUGCAUUGGAAACUGGUAGACUUGAGUGCAGGAGAGGAGAGUGGAAUUCCAUGUGUAGCGGUGAAAUGCGUAGAUAUAUGGAGGAACACCGGUGGCGAAAGCGGCUCUCUGGCCUGUAACUGACACUGAGGCUCGAAAGCGUGGGGAGCAAACAGGAUUAGAUACCCUGGUAGUCCACGCCGUAAACGAUGAGUGCUAGAUGUAGGGAGCUAUAAGUUCUCUGUAUCGCAGCUAACGCAAUAAGCACUCCGCCUGGGGAGUACGACCGCAAGGUUGAAACUCAAAGGAAUUGACGGGGGCCCGCACAAGCGGUGGAGCAUGUGGUUUAAUUCGAAGCAACGCGAAGAACCUUACCAGGUCUUGACAUACUCGUGCUAUUCCUAGAGAUAGGAAGUUCCUUCGGGACACGGGAUACAGGUGGUGCAUGGUUGUCGUCAGCUCGUGUCGUGAGAUGUUGGGUUAAGUCCCCCAACGAGCGCAACCCCUAUUGUUAGUUGCCAUCAUUAAGUUGGGCACUCUAACGAGACUGCCGGUGAUAAACCGGAGGAAGGUGGGGAUGACGUCAAAUCAUCAUGCCCCUUAUGACCUGGGCUACACACGUGCUACAAUGGAUGGUACAACGAGUCGCGAGACAGUGAUGUUUAGCUAAUCUCUUAAAACCAUUCUCAGUUCGGAUUGUAGGCUGCAACUCGCCUACAUGAAGUCGGAAUCGCUAGUAAUCGCGGAUCAGCACGCCGCGGUGAAUACGUUCCCGGGCCUUGUACACACCGCCCGUCACACCACGGGAGUUGGGAGUACCCGAAGUAGGUUGCCUAACCGCAAGGAGGGCGCU